RNAcentral lists this ribosomal RNA (451 nucleotides) under uncultured soil bacterium. RNAcentral describes it as "bacterial SSU rRNA". It matches the Rfam family "Bacterial small subunit ribosomal RNA", at positions 26 to 457 of the family's 1533-position model. The record is from RNAcentral.
AGAACGAACGCUGGCGGCGUGGAUAAGACAUGCAAGUCGAACGGGACUUAAUCGGUAGCAAUACAGGUUAAGUUUAGUGGCGAACGGGUGCGUAACACGUGGGGAAUCUGCCGAGAAGUGGGGGAUAGCUCGCCGAAAGGCGAAUUAAUACCGCAUAUGAUCAGCGAAGACAUCUUAGCGACAUCAAAGCCGGGGCAACCUGGCGCUUUCUUGAUGACCCCCGCGGCCUAUCAGCUAGUUGGUGAGGUAACGGCUCACCAAGGCUAUGACGGGUAGCGUGGUCUGAGAGGGCGACCGAGUCACACCUGGAACUGAGACACGGUCCAGACACCUACGGGUGGCAGCAGGUCGAGUAAUUUUUCACAAUGGGGGCAACCCUGAAGGAGCGACGCCGCGUGGAGGAUGAAGGCGUUUCGGUUAGUAACGUCCUGUCAUUUGAAGAACAGUGUCG